This 253-nucleotide ribosomal RNA is filed under the name uncultured bacterium. RNAcentral describes it as "partial 16S ribosomal RNA". It matches the Rfam family "Bacterial small subunit ribosomal RNA", at positions 524 to 776 of the family's 1533-position model. The record is from RNAcentral.
UACGUAGGGUGCGAGCGUUGUCCGGAAUUAUUGGGCGUAAAGAGCUCGUAGGCGGUUUGUCGCGUCUGCCGUGAAAGUCCGGGGCUCAACUCCGGAUCUGCGGUGGGUACGGGCAGACUAGAGUGAUGUAGGGGAGACUGGAAUUCCUGGUGUAGCGGUGAAAUGCGUAGAUAUCGGGAGGAACACCAGUGGCGAAGGCGACUACCUGGCCUGUUCUUGACGCUGAGGCGCGAAAGCUAGGGGAGCAAACGGG